This 4177-nucleotide long non-coding RNA is filed under the name Pan paniscus (pygmy chimpanzee). RNAcentral's name for it is "lncRNA (ENSPPAG00000044160.1)". The record is from RNAcentral. Lineage: Eukaryota; Metazoa; Chordata; Mammalia; Primates; Hominidae.
AUGUCCUUCUUUGAAGUCCAUCCUGCUCCGCCCACUAUUUGUCCCCGGUGGUCACUUCCUCCUCUGUGCUCCCGUGGCCUGGGAUUCACACCAGGAAAGAACGCCACGAAGAAGGAAUGGGUGAAGGACUUUAGUACGAUGGUCAAGACAAGAACCGUGGAGUCAGAAUGCCUGCAUGCAGAUCUCAUCACCAUGGGAAUCAUUGAGGGUUUACUGAACGAGUGCUAUUGUAAACAGAGUCAGUGUCAACACCAGAAAGUGCUUCCUGAUCUGGCAGUUUAAUUGCUCUCCUGAUUUCCAUGCUUUUCACUCUUUAUGAAAUGUGACGUUUUCUCUACAUCUUGUACAAAUACAGGUAUGAAAACAUUGGGCUGGUUUAUAAGUUAGAGCUAAAGUCUAGUUAAAUGGCAAAGGUGAUUUUUGCAAAUAGAUACAUAGCUUCUUUAAAGCCAGCUUCGAGGUUUCUCAGGCAUUCCUGAAUGGCUUGAGAUUGAUGUUCCAGGAGGCAGAACAUCGAGGGAAGGCAAGGGAUUCUCUGGAAUGUUAUUCAGUGGACCUGAGCACUCAACUGCCACUUGAAACAUUAGUUUGUCGUUGGCCCUUUGGCCAAUGGCACAAGUACCUCGGCUGCACUGGGGGCUGCCUUUCAGCUACAUUAACCUGCUUUAUAGUUCAUAACGAGCCUUGGUGAUUGAAGUCCACAUAGCCACUGUGGGUUCACCUCUUGUCCAAGACACAGGCAUGUCUCUCGACCCCCUGACCUCCCAUUCUCUGAGUUCUUGCUUUGCCACCUACAUCUGUUCUGUAUCUUCAGAUUCCCCCCUCUGGCUUUUCCCUGGAUUCUUGAUCUCAGCCUGUCAGCACACUUAAAUAUACAUCAUCCUUAAAACAAUAAAACAAAACAAAAUCCUUUUAACAAGACUCCUCCUUGAAGGACAACCCUCUUCUCUCACUUCCUUUCUUGCAAAAGCCUGCACAAUGGACAUGUCUCAUCUUCUCUUUCCCACUUUCCAUUCACAUUGGCUACUAUCCUGCCACCUCCCUGCACCUGCUCUCAUUAAAGUAACCACUGUUUCUCUAAUUUCCAAACUAGGAGGCUGUCACUCCUCAUCCUCCUUGGCUUCUGAAGCACCUGACAGUGUUGACUGAGCAGCUAUGUGCUGAGCUAAGACAAGGGAGUUUGGUAGCUAGUAAAAGGACAAAUGGGUAUCCGAGGUCAAUGAAUGGUUCUGAGGUCAAGUAUAAUUCCCUGCUGGGACUCAUUGACAGACUCAACUUCAUCUCUUUUUCCCUGAACUGGCAGUUAUUUUAGGAUUUGUACUCAUAUCUUUCUCUUCUCUUCUUCAUUUUCUUCUCUCAUCUUAUCUUCUCUACUUACUUAUAUGUUCUUCCUGGGCGACAUCAUCAUUUUUUUUCCAGCUUCAAGUAUAUCUUGAAUUCCAAAUCUUUAUUUUUACUAAAGCCGUUGGCUGAACUAUAAACCUAUAUUUUCAAAUGCUCAUUGGACAUAACUCCAGUAAAGUGUUAUAGGCAUUUCACCUUAACACACAAAAGGAACUUGAUAAUAUCUUUAAGUUUGUUCCUCUCUUUAUAUUCCUUUUUUUGUUUGAGAUGGAGUCUUGCUCUGUGGCCCAGGCUGGAGUGCAGUGGUACAACAUCCACUCACUGCAACCUCUACCUCCCAGGUUCAAGUGAUCCUCCUGUCUCAGCCUCCCAAAGUGCUGGGAUUACAGGCAUGAGCCACCAUGCCCAGCCCCUGUCCUUAUGUUCUUCAUUUCAGACAAAUGGCAGUGCCACUUUCCAGUAUUCUAAGCUAGAAUCUUGCAUAUGUCCCCAAUUUUUCUUCUAUUUUAUUUCUUACCUUCAAUGUCAUCAAGUUUGGUCAAUUCUUCCUCAUACACAACUCUUAAAAAAUUCAUUGUUGCUUUUCCAUUUGCACUGCCAUAGUUUUGGUUCUGCCCUUAGCAUCUGAUAUGGUUUAGCUCUGUGUGUCCACCCAGAUCUCAUGUUGACUUGUAAUCCCCAUGUGUCAGGGGAGAGACCGGGUGGGAGGUGAUUGGAUCACGGGGGUCGGAUUUCCCCCUUGCUGUUCUUGUGAUAGUGAAUGAGCUCUCCUGAGAUCUGAUGGUUUAAAAGUGUGGCACUUUCCCCUUCACUCUCUCUCUCUCCUGCUGCCUUGUGAAGAUGUGCCUUGCUUCCCCUUUAGCUUCAGCCGUGAUUGUAAGUUUCCUGAGGCCUCCCCAGCCAUGCAGAACUGUGAGUCAAUUAAACCUCUUUUCUUUAUAAAUUACGCAGUCUCAGGUAGUUCUUUAUAGCAGUGUGAGAACAAACUAAUACAGCAUCUCUAAGGCCCGAUAACCAAAACCUAGUCCAGCACUUUUUUCCUCAAGGAAGUGCAAAUCCCUUGGGCGUCAUGUUCAAAUGUGGAUCCUGACUUCAAAGAUCUGUGUGGGGCUUGAGAUUCUGCAAUCUGGCAAGCUCCUAAGGGCUGCUUCUUGUUCCUGGACCUCACCCUGAACAGUAAUGACCUCAACAACUACUACCCUUCUCUCAGGCCUCAUUCCCUCUGCCUUACCACUUGCCCACCCUCUGUUCCACCCCAGCCUCCACCCUGCACACCACUCCUGCACUCCCAAGUCAUUCUCUAUAAUCGUGACUAUCUUCUAAAUUCUUAAAGUGGAAAUAUGAUAAUGUCACUGUCCUGUGUUAACAGCUUUAAUGGGGGUCCCAUAACCUUCAGGAUAAAGUUCAAGCUGCUUAAUAGGAGAUGCAGGGUGACUUUGAUUAUCUGAAAUCCACCUGCGUCUUAUCCCCCAUGCCCUCUCAGUCUGCAGAAAAUGUGUGCACUUUUUUUUUUAAGAGAAAAGGAUCAAAUAAUGUGCUGGAUUCUCAGAGUGUUAUUUGGCUUUGAGAAAGAGGAAUGACCACAGUCCUUUCUGCAUUAGGAAUUUUUUUUGUUUGUUUUUAGAGUAUGAUUCAGAGACCAAUUUAUUCCCAAAGAAAAUUGCCAUUACAUCUAUUAAGUUUUUAUAUUAAAACAUUUUCUACCAAGGGAUGACUGUCACUCUGAGCAACUGUGCCACUGUGAAUGCCUCAUGUGUCAGCAUAGCUUAUUAUCUAGCUCUGAGCAGAAUGGGAGUGCUGCUGAAUUAGUCUUGAGGAAAUUUUAUAGAUGAGGAAGCAGUAGCCCACAUAGAUUAGACAAUUUCCCUGAAUUUAUAAAACUCAGACAGUGCCAGAGACUAGACUAGACCUUGAAUCUUUGGGACUCUUGUCUAGUACUCUUUGCACUGAACCAUGAAACACCAUCCUUCCUUAGCAAGGAGAGAUGGGGUCAAAGUGAGAUGUGACAAUGAGGAAGUGUGGCAAGUUAAAGCAGCAACAAAGCUACAUGCCUCAGCUUCUGGGGUUCUUCCUUCUUCAAUAUUUCACUUCAGGGGAAGAUGUGGCAGUGCUUAGAUGCUAACAGAAAGAACCAGGAGACACAGAGCUGGUGUGGCAAUGCAGAAAAGGCCCGUGGAUUGUGGCUGGAAGAGGUGGCCAGGAGUGCCAAGUGUCAGGGUGGUGGCCUGUAAGCCACAGGUAGGGGAAUGUAGCUUCGUAGCCUGGUGAAGAGGGGACAGGGCUGGGGACACGUCCAAGGAGUCGUGUUGGUUGCAUUCCAAUAUUUUGCUGCACUGAUGAAGUGACAGGGAAGUGAGUUUCUGCCCAGCAUUGAGGAAUCACUCACAAUUCCGUUGUGCAGGAAUGAGAGAAGACGCACUGUGCUGUGGGAGGCGUUGCUCCAGGACUCCAGCCAAGUUUCCGUGACUACAGAGCAUGGAUAUGGAGGAUGCGAUUCCUCCAUAGUACAGGAGACUGAUCAGAUGACCUUGGGUUUCUCCUUCUGCACCCAUUGCCAAGACCAUAUGUGCUUAAGUGAGGAAGCUGUGAAUAAGGGGUGCUUCCCUCAUGGCCAAUUCAGGGAUCAUAGAUGUAGGUGAGGAGGUACACGGAUGACAGCCAGGAUCAGGGAGGGCAUUUUUAACCAGGCUGCCUCCCCUGAAUCUGCUCUAAAGAUGGGACUAUUUUCUCCGUAUUAUUUUAUAGGAUCUUUUAUGGCUAACUCAUCUUAUAGAUUAAGCCAGUUGUCAAAAUGUUUCUGUAAAGGGUUAGAAAGUAAAUUGUAGCCUUUGUG